UGGAAUAGCGUUUGCGGUGGGCACUUGGU
RNAcentral lists this non-coding RNA (29 nucleotides) under Homo sapiens (human). The record is from RNAcentral. Lineage: Eukaryota; Metazoa; Chordata; Mammalia; Primates; Hominidae.